CCCUUAGAUGUCCUGGGCCGCACGCGUGCUACACUGACGCAUCCGGCGAGCACUUUCCAGUUCCGAGAGGCUACUGGUAAUCAUCAAUAUGCGUCGUGAUGGGGAUAGAUCUUUGGAAUUCUGGAUCUUGAACGAGGAAUGCCUAGUAAUCGCGGGUCAUUAGCCUGCGAUGAUUAAGUCCCUGCCCUUUGUACACACCGCCCGUCGCUACUACCGAUUUCGAGUGGUCAGGUGAAUCUUUCGGACUGUGGGCGCCCUUGAGGUGUUCGCGGAAAGUCAGGUAAAUCUUACCACUUAGAGGAAGUAAAAGUCGUAACA
Molecule: ribosomal RNA, 318 nt
Filed under: uncultured eukaryote
Lineage: Eukaryota
Description: partial 18S ribosomal RNA
Rfam family: Eukaryotic small subunit ribosomal RNA
Source: RNAcentral